RNAcentral lists this ribosomal RNA (253 nucleotides) under uncultured bacterium. Its description in RNAcentral is "partial 16S ribosomal RNA". It matches the Rfam family "Bacterial small subunit ribosomal RNA", at positions 524 to 776 of the family's 1533-position model. The record is from RNAcentral.
UACGUAGGGUGCGAGCGUUAAUCGGAAUUACUGGGCGUAAAGCGUGCGCAGGCGGCUUUGCAAGACAGAUGUGAAAUCCCCGGGCUUAACCUGGGAACUGCAUUUGUGACUGCAUGGCUGGAGUGCGGCAGAGGGGGAUGGAAUUCCGCGUGUAGCAGUGAAAUGCGUAGAUAUCAGGAGGAACACCAGCGGCGAAGGCGGCGCUCUGGGCCGGAACUGACGCUGAGGAGCGAAAGCGUGGGUAGCAAACAGG